GGUUCCGCCCUCUAGGAGGUGCAACAAGCGGCGCUCUUCUCAGAAUUUGCUAGCCAAGUACCCUGUGUAUGCUCCGCCCCUGGGAGCUCAUCCCUGAAGAAACUUCAAAUGGCUUCUAAGAAGAGAAGGCCAGCCCUUCCCGAUGUCCCCAGGUGAGGCAGGCUGCCCUCCUACCCCUCACAGCACCAAGAUGACAUAGAUUCAAGACUUGCCCUGCUGUGAGCCCCAGGCUGGGCUUUAGAGGCAGGAGUCCCAAGGAAGUGAGGCAAAGUCAGGGAAAUAAAUUAAUAAAUACAGGGGCCCCAUGAGGGCGGCUGGGAAGGCUGCUUUGCCUCUCAACACUGAUCACUGCUGUCCACUCCAGACAUUCCCACCUUUUCUUGAGUGGAAGCAGGGCUACAGUUUGGAAUGGAGAGCCUUUCUCUUGGGACAGGCUUCAGGAACUCAGAGUCUGCGCUCCAUGCGCCGCUCCACAGCUCUUAGCAGUAGCUCAGAGUACUGCUCCAACAGGGCCUGCGUCUGCUCAGCCCCCACAGCCCCAGGGCUGCCACCUGGGCUGGACAGCACUGCCCCAGCCAGAGCCUCGAGCUCCUGUCGCACUGAAGAGAAGGUGUCUCUCAGGAGACGGGUGAUGUGACUUUGUUCUGCCGAAGGUGUCUUACAGCUGGUCACCUGCAACAGGAACACUGAAAGUGAGCUGGAGAGCAGCAGACAGUGGAAUAUAGAAAAGGGGGCUCUGCCGGUGCCUUGCCCACCCAGUAGAAGGGACUGCCUAGGAGUUCUACACACAAGAUCAGGAUGGCCAGAGUCACUCUGAUGGGUGGCCCAGAUGAGGAUCCCUCCAGACUACUAGAACCAUUUACUUCUUGACAACUUUUCCCAACAACUCUCUUUCAAAUGUGACAGUUACAUUGUUUCUUAUAUCUAAGGUGCCCAAACCAUUUUGGGAUAUAAAAAAAAAAAAAAGAUAACAGCC
Molecule: long non-coding RNA, 976 nt
Filed under: Mus caroli (Ryukyu mouse)
Lineage: Eukaryota; Metazoa; Chordata; Mammalia; Rodentia; Muridae
Description: predicted gene 13999 (MGP_CAROLIEiJ_G0003242.1)
Source: RNAcentral